CGCCUGUGCUUUUCGGUACCGUAAGGUGGUACCAGAAUAAGGGCUGGGCAAGACCGGUGCCAGCCGCCGCGGUAAUACCGGCAGCCCAAGUGAUGGCCGAUCUUAUUGGGCCUAAAGCGUCCGUAGCUGGCCGCGCAAGUCCAUCGGGAAAUCCACCUGCUCAACAGGUGGGCGCCCGGUAGAAACUGCGUGGCUUGGGACCGGAAGGCGCGACGGGUACGUCCGGGGUAGGAGUGAAAUCCCGUAAUCCUGGACGGACCGCCGAUGGCGAAAGCACGUCGCGAGGACGGAUCCGACAGUGAGGGACGAAAGCCAGGGUCUCGAACCGGAUUAGAUACCCGGGUAGUCCUGGCCGUAAACAAUGUCUGCUAGGUGUGGCUCCCACUACGAGUGGGUGCUGUGCCGUAGGGAAGCCGCUAAGCAGACCGCCUGGGAAGUACGUCCGCAAGGAUGAAACUUAAAGGAAUUGGCGGGGGAGCAC
This 481-nucleotide ribosomal RNA is filed under the name uncultured archaeon. RNAcentral describes it as "bacterial SSU rRNA". It matches the Rfam family "Archaeal small subunit ribosomal RNA", at positions 399 to 879 of the family's 1478-position model. The record is from RNAcentral.